UACGUAGGGGGCGAGCGUUGUCCGGAUUUAUUGGGCGUAAAGAGCUCGUAGGCGGUUUGGUAAGUUGGGUGUGAAAUCUCCAGGCUCAACUUGGAGGGGUCAUUCGAUACUGCCAUGACUAGAGUUCGGUAGGGGAGUGUGGAAUUCCUGGUGGAGCGGUGAAAUGCGCAGAUAUCAGGAGGAACACCCGUAGCGAAGGCGGCACUCUGGGCCGGAACUGACGCUGAGGAGCGAAAGCGUGGGGAGCAAACAGG
This 254-nucleotide ribosomal RNA is filed under the name uncultured bacterium. RNAcentral describes it as "partial 16S ribosomal RNA". It matches the Rfam family "Bacterial small subunit ribosomal RNA", at positions 524 to 776 of the family's 1533-position model. The record is from RNAcentral.